AAAUGCUGCUGGGCAACAAAUGGAGAACUAAGGCACCUUGAAGCGAACCGCAGCUAUCUUUUGAAGUCUUCUGUAUUUAAAAAUUAUAUAUAUAUAAGUGGGAUUCUUUUUAAUGCAUUAAUGUCACAAAAAAUUAUCAUCCAAAAAUGUCUGAGCUUUUUUUUUGCCAACUUUUGCACUUUCUUGGAAUUUUUCAUGAAUUUUCCUUUAAUUUUUGCCCCUGUUGGAAUUUUUUUCUGUGCAAGAAAAUGUUCAGUUAACUCUCUGUUGCUGAAGAGUGUGAUGAUGUCUUUUGGGGUGGGAGUGCUUAAAAGCUGAGGAUUUAUCCAAGGGGCUGUACGGGUGGCAACAGUAGCAAAAAAGAUCUUCGGAACUAAUGACUGCAAGAUCCAGAUGCAGCAACGCUGUUGUGUGGCAGAAUCUCUUGACUCUGCUCAUCUGAACUAACCUCACCCCACCCUGAAAACGGGAUGAACUGAGUUGUUAUGCAUGUGUCAAUCAAUGGGAAGACGUGCAUUCUGUAGCUGUAGGUUCUUAUGGUGUUUGGGUUUUUUUAUGCUUUAUCCUUUUGUUUAAAGCCUGUUGGCUAUUGUUUAGCUAUAUGUUGUGAAAGAUUCUCAAAUGUAGCAAAUUUGGACUGGGGCGGGGGGAAGGGGAAAUUUUUUAGGAGCAAAAGGUGUUUAUAGAGCCAACCAAAACACCCUGCUCUUUUUGCUUUCCCCCUAUCCUGUUCUGCUUGUUGUGAGCACUUAAAUUCGAAAAGAGGCUCUGAAAAGUUUUUGUUCUGUAGCGGAUUUGAGGUGCAGGCUGGGGUUGCUUGCUCUUUGCUUGAGGGCUGUUUAAAGAUGACACCCAAAGAGGCAUAAUCAAGGGAUGCAAAAGAGAUGUUCCAUGCAGUAUGUAUCAGUAUGAUUUAGAAGUGCCCCCUCCCCCUCCCCGCCCUCACCCCAUUCUGCCCCAUAUGAUCCUUAUAUCAAAAGCCUUUAUCCACCUGUUGGGGACAAGGCCAUUCUGACAGGUUAGCAAACCUCCAACCCCAACCUCCCGCCCCCCACUCCCAAAAAACUACCCUUGUGGAUGUGUUGUAGAUCUUUUUACCCCCUUCUUGCUCAGUAGCAAGGCAGUCGCUCUGCUUUCAUUUUAGGAAAGUAGAGCUUGGAGGGCAUUGUAUCAAUACUGUUUGAACUGCAAGGUUUUUUCCCUUGUGCAAUUUGAGGAAAGAUCAUAUGUGAAUAUCACUUAAGAGUUUCUUUAUACCUUGCUAUUGACACAUUUUGGUGAUAUUUCUGUCUAGAGCCUGAAACAUGUAUGUAAAACUUGUUUGCAUAUGUUAAUUUUUGACUUCUGAUGUAUUUUUUUUGUUUUGUUUCUAUAUUGUUAGACUUGUAAUGUUUUAAAUUGUAUUUUAUUAAAAUUGGACUGGAUGUAUGUCUAUAGCAAUACGAGGUACUUUUUUUCUUUAAAAAAAACAAACACAACCCCUGUUGGUGGGGAAGGUAGGCUAAUAGCCUUCCUAUUGCGAUAAUAUGCUGGCUGUGUAUAACUGCAAUGUAUUUUUUUUCUCUUUUUUUUAGCCUGCAGGGAUUUUGUGUUCAUGUGUCCAAAAAAAUAAAUAAAGGCAUUUGGGUGCCAAA
Long non-coding RNA from Podarcis raffonei (Aeolian wall lizard), 1634 nucleotides. RefSeq lists it as uncharacterized. The record is from RefSeq and is a predicted model, not a curated record. The transcript has 2 exons. Lineage: Eukaryota; Metazoa; Chordata; Lepidosauria; Squamata; Lacertidae.